RNAcentral lists this ribosomal RNA (323 nucleotides) under uncultured eukaryote. RNAcentral's name for it is "partial 18S ribosomal RNA". It matches the Rfam family "Eukaryotic small subunit ribosomal RNA", at positions 1470 to 1796 of the family's 1831-position model. The record is from RNAcentral.
CCCUUAGAUGUUCUGGGCCGCACGCGUGCUACACUGAACGGUUCAAUGGGUAAGGUAGUGCGAAAGCAUGACCUAAUCUCGAAAUCCGUUCGUGCUGGGGAUAGAAGCUUGCAAUUAUCCUUCUUGAACGAGGAAUACCUUGUAAGCGUGAGUCAUCAUCUCACGCUGAAUACGUCCCCGCCCUUUGUACACACCGCCCGUCGCUCCUACCGAUUGAGUGUUCCGGUGAGGCUUUGGGAGAAUGGCCUCAACAUGAGUUUAUCGUGUUUUGCCGUUUGAACUUAGUCAAACCUUAUCACUUAGAGGAAGGAGAAGUCGUAACA